Dama dama (fallow deer) is the source of this 399-nucleotide long non-coding RNA. RefSeq lists it as uncharacterized. The transcript has 3 exons. Lineage: Eukaryota; Metazoa; Chordata; Mammalia; Artiodactyla; Cervidae. The record is from RefSeq and is a predicted model, not a curated record.
AUCACGAAAGGGAAGGAGUUUGGGUUCCUGAAUAUCUACUUGGAAGACAGCCUCCAGAGAGAGCUGCCAGACUUUCACUGGACAGUCACAUGAGGGAGAAAUAAACCUAUGUGUGGCACCACUGAGAUUGUCAUUAUAGCAACUGCUACCUACAUAGGUCCUGCACGUAGAACCUACCUAGAGGUCCUACAUCAGACUGAUGGAGAAGAUGCUGCCCUCCUCAGCUGUUCUGCACAUUGAUAUGGUGGUGGUGACUGGAUGGGACUUUGCAUUGUCCUCUGUGGGGUGAGCUGCAAGCAAAGGACUCUAAGAUGAAACUGUCACACAUGCAUGGUGGAAGGAGCCCAACUGACAACAGAUACUUAUGAGUAAGUAAUCACUUUGUACUGAGGAUAGUAU